Molecule: ribosomal RNA, 274 nt
Filed under: uncultured bacterium
Lineage: Bacteria
Description: partial 16S ribosomal RNA
Rfam family: Bacterial small subunit ribosomal RNA
Source: RNAcentral
AUACAGAGGGUGCGAGCGUUAAUCGGAAUUACUGGGCGUAAAGCGCGCGUAGGCGGCUUGGUCAGUCGGAUGUGAAAGCCCCGGGCUCAACCUGGGAAUGGCAUUCGAUACUGCCAGGCUAGAGUAUGAGAGAGGGAAGUGGAAUUUCCGGUGUAGCGGUGAAAUGCGUAGAUAUCGGAAAGAACACCAGUGGCGAAGGCGACUUCCUGGCCCAAUACUGACGCUGAGGUGCGAAAGCGUGGGGAGCGAACAGAAUUAGAAACCCCAGUAGUCC